This 227-nucleotide ribosomal RNA is filed under the name uncultured bacterium. Its description in RNAcentral is "partial 16S ribosomal RNA". It matches the Rfam family "Bacterial small subunit ribosomal RNA", at positions 568 to 793 of the family's 1533-position model. The record is from RNAcentral.
CAUGCAGGCGGCCUGUUAAGUCAGAUGUGAAAGCCCGGGGCUCAACCUACGGAACUGCAUUUUGAAACUGGCAGACUAGAGUACUGUAGAGGGGGUAGAAUUUCAGGUGUAGCGGUGAAAUGCGUAGAGAUCUGAAGGAAUACCGGUGGCGAAGGCGGCCCCCUGGACAGAUACUGACACUCAGAUGCGAAAGCGUGGGGAGCAAACAGGAUUAGAUACCCUGGUAG